CCUACGGGAGGCAGCAGUGGGGGAUAUUGCGCAAUGGGGGAAACUCUGAUGCAGCAACGCCGCGUGAGUGAAGAAGUAUUUCGGUAUGUAAAGCUCUAUCAGCGGGGAAGAGAAAAGACGGUACCUGCCUGAGAAACCCCCGCUAACUACGGUCCAGCAGCCGCGGUAAUACGUAGGGGGCAAGCGUUAUCCGGAUUUUCUGGGUGUAAAGGGAGCGUAGACGGCAAUACAAGUCGGAAGUGAAAUACCCGGGCUCAACCUGGGAACUGCUUUGGAAACUGUAUGGCUGGAGUGCUGGAGAGGUAAGCGGAAUUCCUAGUGUAGCGGUGAAAUGCGUAGAUAUUAGGAGGAACACCAGUGGCGAAGGCGGAUUACUGGACAGUAACUGACGUUGAGGCUAGAAAGCGUGGGGAGCAAACAGGAUUAGAUACCCGUGUAGUC
RNAcentral lists this ribosomal RNA (441 nucleotides) under uncultured bacterium. RNAcentral's name for it is "partial 16S ribosomal RNA". It matches the Rfam family "Bacterial small subunit ribosomal RNA", at positions 338 to 795 of the family's 1533-position model. The record is from RNAcentral.